GACGAACGCUGGCGGCGUGCUUAACACAUGCAAGUCGAACGGAAAGGCCCUGCUUGCAGGGUACUCGAGUGGCGAACGGGUGAGUAACACGUGGGUGAUCUGCCCUGCACUUCGGGAUAAGCCUGGGAAACUGGGUCUAAUACCGGAUAGGAGCCAUUUUUAGUGUGAUGGUUGGAAAGUUUUUUCGGUGUAGGAUGAGCUCGCGGCCUAUCAGCUUGUUGGUGGGGUAAUGGCCUACCAAGGCGGCGACGGGUAGCCGGCCUGAGAGGGUGGACGGCCACAUUGGGACUGAGUUACGGCCCAGACUCCCACGGGUGGCAGCCGGGGGGAAUAUUUCACAAUGGGCGCAAGCCUGAUGCAGCGACGCCGCGUGGGGGAUGACGGCCUUCGGGUUGGAAACUCCUUUCGCUAGGGACGAAGCUUUUUGUGACGGUACCUAGAUAAGAAGCACCGGCUAACUACGUG
Molecule: ribosomal RNA, 465 nt
Filed under: uncultured bacterium
Lineage: Bacteria
Description: partial 16S ribosomal RNA
Rfam family: Bacterial small subunit ribosomal RNA
Source: RNAcentral